This 509-nucleotide non-coding RNA is filed under the name Pongo abelii (Sumatran orangutan). The record is from RNAcentral. Lineage: Eukaryota; Metazoa; Chordata; Mammalia; Primates; Hominidae.
GUCGGAGCGCAACUUCUUCGGGAGAGCAGACUUUCCACUGCUAAGUGCGGCCCCGGCGGGAGGGUGCCGGGGUCCAGGUCUAAGGAGCGGCGCCGGGCGGCGGGGCUGGAUUGGGUGGUGCAAAUUCAGCGAACGCGCUUAAGACGCACUCCUUUCCGGUCACUUAAUCUCUCUUCAUGGUGGGAACUGUUUGUGUCCAGAAUUAAGCUAUAUUUAAUAAAGGGCCAGGAUGAGGUGGUCGUGCAGCAUUUUGUUCUGGAGAACCUAGGAUCAACUGUAUGUCACAACAUAUUCCGUAGGCGUUCCCGUUCCCGUCCAUGGGCUGGGAAGAGACAGUAAACUUUAUUUACCGUGAUGUUUGGGGACUGGUACGAAAGGUGGGUAUGGGGAUAUUCUUUCAAUUACUAUUUUCCAGCUUUUCAAACUGUGCGUGUACAUUUAAGUUGUUGAGUUUUUUCAAUAUUGACAACGUAUCAGGAAUUUAAUAAAAGUACUAUCCUGGUGACAAU